GUAAUGAUGCCAGCACUGCAGGAAGCAGCUGACGCUGCCUUCCCCUCGCCCCUCACCGCCAGAACACCUCGUAAACGUAUCUUUCCUCACAAACACCGCGCGAUUCGUCGACAGGCAGUUGAGGGAGGACCAGGGGGGUGAAACUCAUAUAGGGAUUUCCGGUAACACGACGUUGGUUUGGUCCCAGGCCACUUGGAGCGCUGCAAGUUUAGCAAUUUAUAGUCUCGUGUUCCUAUUGGAUGACGUAGUCUUCCAUAAUUAUUUUGGUAUCGUAGCAACGUGAUUGUGAUUUUUCGUUUAAAUUGCAGUGUAAGUAUGUUGCUAUUAUUCUGCUUAAUUUUUGGAUGCAUUCGUAAUAUUUGAUGGUGUGAUGAUUCAGUAUUUCCUUUUUUACUUUUCAUAUAAAACACGAGGUUGUAUCAUCACAUUACGUUCUGUGGACUCUUGUAUAUUUGUUCCUGCAAAGAAGUACAAUUUCCGUUGCUCAGUUUACUUAAAGGACACAUGAGGAUGGAUCAUACAGGAAGAGAAGAAUCCAGUUUGAGAUUGAAAUUGAAAUACUCAUGCAAGUUUCCUGGAUGCAGGAGUAGUUAUUAUGUAAAAAUAAAUUCCAAGCACAAGAAUAAA
Molecule: long non-coding RNA, 627 nt
Organism: Schistocerca serialis cubense
Lineage: Eukaryota; Metazoa; Arthropoda; Insecta; Orthoptera; Acrididae
Exons: 2
Source: RefSeq, a predicted model, not a curated record